ACCGGCGCACGGGUGAGUAACGCGUAUCCAACCUGCCCUUUACUCCGGGAUAGUCUCCUGAAAGGGAGUUUAAUACCGGAUGUGUUUGUCUUUCCGCAUGGGAGCGACAAAUAAAGAUUAAUUGGUAAAGGAUGGGGAUGCGUCCCAUUAGCUAGUUGGCGGGGUAACGGCCCACCAAGGCGACGAUGGGUAGGGGUUCUGAGAGGAAGGUCCCCCACAUUGGAACUGAGUCACGGUCCAAACUCCUACGGGAGGCAGCAGUGAGGAAUAUUGGUCAAUGGGCGGGAGCCUGAACCAGCCAAGUAGCGUGAAGGACGACGGCCCUACGGGUUGUAAACUUCUUUUAUAAGGGAAUAAAGUUCGCCACGUGUGGUGUUUUGUAUGUACCUUAUGAAUAAGCAUCGGCUAAUUCCGUGCCAGCAGCCGCGGUAAUACGGAAGAUGCGAGCGUUAUCCGGAUUUAUUGGGUUUAAAGGGAGCGUAGGCGGGCUUUUAAGUCAGCGGUCAAAUGUCGUGGCUCAACCAUGUCAAGCCGUUGAAACUGUAAGCCUUGAGUCUGCACAGGGCACAUGGAAUUCGUGGUGUAGCGGUGAAAUGCUUAGAUAUCACGAAGAACUCCGAUCGCGAAGGCAUUGUGCCGGGGCAUAACUGACGCUGAGGCUCGAAAGUGCGGGUAUCAAACAGG
RNAcentral lists this ribosomal RNA (684 nucleotides) under uncultured Bacteroidales bacterium. RNAcentral describes it as "bacterial SSU rRNA". It matches the Rfam family "Bacterial small subunit ribosomal RNA", at positions 94 to 776 of the family's 1533-position model. Lineage: Bacteria; Pseudomonadati; Bacteroidota; Bacteroidia; Bacteroidales. The record is from RNAcentral.